CGAUCAGCCACACUGGAACUGAGACACGGUCCAGACUCCUACGGGAGGCAGCAGUAGGGAAUCUUGCGCAAUGGGCGAAAGCCUGACGCAGCAAUGCCGCGUGCGGGACGAAGGCCCUAGGGUCGUAAACCGCUUUCAGUAGGGACGAAAAUGACGGUACCUGCAGAAGAAGCUCCGGCCAACUACGUGCCAGCAGCCGCGGUGAUACGUAGGGAGCAAGCGUUGUCCGGAAUUACUGGGCGUAAAGGGCUCGUAGGUGGUUGAGUAAGUCAGAUGUGAAAUCUCAGGGCCCAACCCUGAGCGUGCAUUUGAUACUGCUCUGACUAGAGUCCGGUAGGGGAGUGCGGAAUUCCUGGUGUAGCGGUGAAAUGCGCAGAUAUCAGGAGGAACACCGACAGCGAAGGCAGCACUCUGGGCCGGUGCUGACACUGAGGAGCGAAAGCAUGGGUAGCAAACAGGAUUAGAUACCCUGGUAGUCCAUGCCGUAAACGUUGGGCACUAGGUGAGGGGAGAACUCAACUCUCUCCGCGCCGUAGCUAACGCAUUAAGUGCCCCGCCUGGGGAGUACGGCCGCAAGGCUAAAACUCAAAGGAAUUGACGGGGGCCCGCACAAGCGGCGGAGCAUGUUGCUUAAUUCGAGGCAACGCGAAGAACCUUACCUGGGUUGAACUACGUGGGAAAAGCCGCAGAGAUGCGGUGUCCUUCGGGGUCCACGAUAGGUGGUGCAUGGCUGUCGUCAGCUCGUGUCGUGAGAUGUUGGGUUAAGUCCCGCAACGAGCGCAACCCUUGUCCUGUGUUGCCAGCGGGUAAAGCCGGGGACUCGUAGGAGACUGCCGGGGUCAACUCGGAGGAAGGUGGGGACGACGUCAAGUCAUCAUGCCCCUUAUGUCCAGGGCUGCAAACAUGCUACAAUGGCCGGUACAACGGGCAGCUAAACCGCGAGGUCAAGCGAAUCCCACAAAGCCGGUCUCAGUUCGGAUUAAGUCUGCAACUCGACUUCAUGAAGCUGGAGUCGCUAGUAAUCCCGGAUCAGCAACGCCGGGGUGAAUACGUUCCCGGGCCUUGUACACACCGCCCGUCACACGCCGAAAGUCGGCAACACCCGAAGUCAGUGGCCCAACCCCUAGGGGAGGGAGCUGCCGAAGGUGGGGCUGGCGAUUGGGGUGAAGUCGUAACAAGGUAGCCGUACCGGAAGGUGCGGCUG
RNAcentral lists this ribosomal RNA (1204 nucleotides) under metagenome. RNAcentral describes it as "bacterial SSU rRNA". It matches the Rfam family "Bacterial small subunit ribosomal RNA", at positions 301 to 1520 of the family's 1533-position model. The record is from RNAcentral.